RNAcentral lists this ribosomal RNA (524 nucleotides) under uncultured bacterium. RNAcentral describes it as "bacterial SSU rRNA". It matches the Rfam family "Bacterial small subunit ribosomal RNA", at positions 791 to 1336 of the family's 1533-position model. The record is from RNAcentral.
UAGUCCACGCCCUAAACGAUGGAUACUAGUUGUCGGAUUUCCUAAUAGAUUCGGUAACGUAGCUAACGCAUUAAGUAUCCCGCCUGGGGAUUACGGUCGCAAGAUUAAAACUCAAAGGAAUUGACGGGGGCCCGCACAAGCGGUGGAGCAUGUGGUUUAAUUCGAUGCUACGCGAAAAACCUUACCUGGGCUUGACAUCCCGGGCUACCCUGAGAGAUCUGGCUUUCCCUUACGGGACCGAGUGACAGGUGCUGCAUGGCUGUCAUCAGCUCGUGUCGUGAGAUGUUCGGUUAAGUCCGGCAACGAGCGCAACCCACAUCUUUAGUUGCCAGCAGUUCGGCUGGGCACUCUAAAGAAACUGCCCGUGAUAAGCGGGAGGAAGGUGUGGAUGACGUCAAGUCCUCAUGGCCCUUACGGGUUGGGCUACACACGUGCUACAAUGGCAGUGACAAUGGGUUAAUCCCCAAAAACCGUCUCAGUUCGGAUUGGGGUCUGCAACUCGACCCCAUGAAGUCGGAAUCGCU